This is a long non-coding RNA of Lynx canadensis (Canada lynx), 1371 nucleotides long. RefSeq lists it as uncharacterized. The record is from RefSeq and is a predicted model, not a curated record. The transcript is spliced from 5 exons. Lineage: Eukaryota; Metazoa; Chordata; Mammalia; Carnivora; Felidae.
CCCAAUGUGGGACUGGAACUCCCCACCAGAGAUCAGGAGUUGCAUGCUGUACUGACUGAGCCAGCGAGGCACCCGUAGAAAUCACCUUUUUCAUCAAAUGGCUUCACCAACCUCUUUAGAAUCCAGUGCACAAGACCAAGGAAUGGGCCCAGGAAUCCUUUGGAGGAAAUAUGGAGAGCAUUGGCAAUAGUUGUUAAGGGCAGAGCUGGAUGGAGGUCAUGACAGGAAGCAGUGCAAAGUGAAUGCUACAUCAGAAUGCGUCAGUAGUCUCCCUCUCUUACUCCUCUGACAGUCACCACAGAGCAGUCAAUGUUUUGAGAUAGUAGAAUUUUUAUUUCAAUUCUCCACUAAUUGAUGUGAAUGAUAUAUAAAAACAAAGCGAUUCUAAACCUUAAAUAUUUCUCUGAAGAUAGAUAAAAUCUAUUUCCCCCUUCCCAAGAAGUACGCAUGGGUUGAACUCCAAUGUUGCUGCUUUUGUUUUGCAAUGGUCUGAAGUUCAGUACAGUGAAAUCCAGUUACCCAACUGGAGUUAACUAUACCAAGGCAAUGGAUACCAGCAAGAAAGGUGUGGAAAACAAUGCCGGUACCCAUUUGUUCCUCGGUUGGAUCAGAAGAGUUUCAGUGAUACCAAAUCUUGUGCCGGUUGUGACAUCUGUGUCCAUGAAUAUGCUGACUGUGACUGGGCACCCUUCAUAUGAAGAGAUCUGAGUUCUUCAUGGCAUGCCAGAUGCAGUUGCUAUUAUUGGAUAAUCAUCCAAUUUCUCCAUAUGCCUUCCAAGGGAAAACGAGUCAAUUUCAGAGUUUCCAGAAACAUUAUUUAGACAAGGUGCAACCAGUUUGUCUUUCAAUAAAUAUGAAUUGCUUCAAGCAAGAAAGAUUCUGGCAACAUGUGCUCUCCACUCUGAAUCUCAAAAACCUGAGGACAUGUCACACCCAGGUCAAACCAACACAUUUCCAAAAGUUGUUCAUCCGAUUCAAUUGAUAACAUCAACUAUUGGGCACAGACUUCAUUUCCCAAUCCUUCAUGACACAUUUUAUGAUCUGGAAGAUGGCAACUCAGCUCACUUGAUACUUGCCAUAAAAUCAGCAAAUGAAUAUCCUUCAGGCCCAGACAGCAGGCUGCAAUUUAAUGCUUCUCAUCAAAUACUACAUGGAUACCCCCCCUUUGAAUGGAUUUUAAUUGUUUCCCUCAGGAAUUGAUUCUUUAUGCCAGAUUCUGGGGCCCUGGCUGCUCAGAUGCUUUUCACCAUUGAACUGAACCUGCCCAGAAAUACUCCCUGCCACAGUUAAACACUCCAUGCACAAAAAACAGUUUCUACCCAUUUGUAAAGAAAAGAGAGAGGGUUGGUUUUUUGUUUUUUGUUUGUUUGG